UGCAGUCGAGCGAAUGGAUUAAGAGCUUGCUCUUAUGAAGUUAGCGGCGGACGGGUGAGUAACACGUGGGUAACCUGCCCAUAAGACUGGGAUAACUCCGGGAAACCGGGGCUAAUACCGGAUAACAUUUUGAACCGCAUGGUUCGAAAUUGAAAGGCGGCUUCGGCUGUCACUUAUGGAUGGACCCGCGUCGCAUUAGCUAGUUGGUGAGGUAACGGCUCACCAAGGCAACGAUGCGUAGCCGACCUGAGAGGGUGAUCGGCCACACUGGGACUGAGACACGGCCCAGACUCCUACGGGAGGCAGCAGUAGGGAAUCUUCCGCAAUGGACGAAAGUCUGACGGAGCAACGCCGCGUGAGUGAUGAAGGCUUUCGGGUCGUAAAACUCUGUUGUUAGGGAAGAACAAGUGCUAGUUGAAUAAGCUGGCACCUUGACGGUACCUAACCAGAAAGCCACGGCUAACUACGUGCCAGCAGCCGCGGUAAUACGUAGGUGGCAAGCGUUAUCCGGAAUUAUUGGGCGUAAAGCGCGCGCAGGUGGUUUCUUAAGUCUGAUGUGAAAGCCCACGGCUCAACCGUGGAGGGUCAUUGGAAACUGGGAGACUUGAGUGCAGAAGAGGAAAGUGGAAUUCCAUGUGUAGCGGUGAAAUGCGUAGAGAUAU
RNAcentral lists this ribosomal RNA (662 nucleotides) under Bacillus cereus. Its description in RNAcentral is "bacterial SSU rRNA". It matches the Rfam family "Bacterial small subunit ribosomal RNA", at positions 56 to 699 of the family's 1533-position model. The record is from RNAcentral. Lineage: Bacteria; Bacillati; Bacillota; Bacilli; Caryophanales; Bacillaceae.